Long non-coding RNA from Xenia sp. Carnegie-2017, 440 nucleotides. RefSeq lists it as uncharacterized. The record is from RefSeq and is a predicted model, not a curated record. The transcript is spliced from 2 exons. Lineage: Eukaryota; Metazoa; Cnidaria; Anthozoa; Malacalcyonacea; Xeniidae.
UUACGUUUGCAGCGAGCACUUUGCUCCCGAUUGUUUUAAAUCGGACCUAAGACAGAAACUUACACCAUGGCAACCUUUAAAAAGGCGACUGAAGCGGGAUGCAGUACCAUCGAUCUUUUCAUUUGGCCCUCAACCCAGUAAAAAGCGUCUGUCUAGCGAGCAUCGUACAGAGAAACGUCAGGCUGAUCAAGACAAGGAGGAACUUUUAAAUAUUUUAGAACAAUGUUCCUCCACAAGUACAAAUGUUUUCUCAGUGAUUGAGCCUGAAGCAAAUAACAGUUGUGAUUUGGGUGCGUCUGACAGUCCUGAAGCAUUGCCAACUAAUUAUUGCAAGCCAGAAACCAAAGAUGCAUCAACAGUGUUCAUUUGUUGUGAGGAGUUUACAUGCCAUGGAAGUCCAAACUACACUGUCGAUGCUGAAUACUGUGGAUGCAGAGGUU